Molecule: ribosomal RNA, 1099 nt
Filed under: Francisella philomiragia
Lineage: Bacteria; Pseudomonadati; Pseudomonadota; Gammaproteobacteria; Thiotrichales; Francisellaceae
Description: bacterial SSU rRNA
Rfam family: Bacterial small subunit ribosomal RNA
Source: RNAcentral
GUUAUACCGCAUAAUAUCUGUGGAUUAAAGGUGGCUUACGCUGCCGCAGAUGGAUGAGCCUGCGUUGGAUUAGCUAGUUGGUGGGGUAAGGGCCUACCAAGGCUACGAUCCAUAGCUGAUUUGAGAGGAUGAUCAGCCACAUUGGGACUGAGACACGGCCCAAACUCCUACGGGAGGCAGCAGUGGGGAAUAUUGGACAAUGGGGGAAACCCUGAUCCAGCAAUGCCAUGUGUGUGAAGAAGGCUCUAGGGUUGUAAAGCACUUUAGUUGGGGAGGAAAGCCUAUGAGUUAAUAGCUUGUAGGAAGGACGUUACCCAAAGAAUAAGGACCGGCUAACUCCGUGCCAGCAGCCGCGGUAAUACGGGGGGUCCGAGCGUUAAUCGGAAUUACUGGGCGUAAAGGGUCUGUAGGUGGUUUGUUAAGUCAGAUGUGAAAGCCCAGGGCUCAACCUUGGAACUGCAUUUGAUACUGGCAAACUAGAGUAUGGUAGAGGAAUGGGGAAUUUCUGGUGUAGCGGUGAAAUGCGUAGAGAUCAGAAGGAACACCAAUGGCGAAGGCAACAUUCUGGACCAAUACUGACACUGAGGGACGAAAGCGUGGGGAUCAAACAGGAUUAGAUACCCUGGUAGUCCACGCUGUAAACGAUGAGUACUAGCUGUUGGAUUCGGUGUAAAGGAUCUAGUGGCGCAGCUAACGCGUUAAGUACUCCGCCUGGGGACUACGGCCGCAAGGCUAAAACUCAAAGGAAUUGACGGGGACCCGCACAAGCGGUGGAGCAUGUGGUUUAAUUCGAUGCAACGCGAAGAACCUUACCUGGUCUUGACAUCCUGCGAACUUUCUAGAGAUAGAUUGGUGCCUUCGGGAACGCAGUGACAGGUGCUGCACGGCUGUCGUCAGCUCGUGUUGUGAAAUGUUGGGUUAAGUCCCGCAACGAGCGCAACCCCUAUUGAUAGUUACCAUCAUUAAGUUGGGUACUCUAUUGAGACUGCCGCUGACAAGGCGGAGGAAGGUGGGGACGACGUCAAGUCAUCAUGGCCCUUACGACCAGGGCUACACACGUGCUACAAUGGGUAUUACAGAGGGCUGCGAAAGGUGCGAG